Molecule: ribosomal RNA, 470 nt
Filed under: Escherichia coli
Lineage: Bacteria; Pseudomonadati; Pseudomonadota; Gammaproteobacteria; Enterobacterales; Enterobacteriaceae
Description: bacterial SSU rRNA
Rfam family: Bacterial small subunit ribosomal RNA
Source: RNAcentral
CCGUCAAUUCAAAUGAGUUUGUGGAAUAUUCGAUGCAACGCUUGAACCUUACCUGGUCUUGACAUCCACAGAACUUUCCAGAGAUGGAUUGGUGCCUUCGGGAACUGUGAGACAGGUGCUGCAUGGCUGUCGUCAGCUCGUGUUGUGAAAUGUUGGGUUAAGUCCCGCAACGAGCGCAACCCUUAUCCUUUGUUGCCAGCGGUCCGGCCGGGAACUCAAAGGAGACUGCCAGUGAUAAACUGGAGGAAGGUGGGGAUGACGUCAAGUCAUCAUGGCCCUUACGACCAGGGCUACACACGUGCUACAAUGGCGCAUACAAAGAGAAGCGACCUCGCGAGAGCAAGCGGACCUCAUAAAGUGCGUCGUAGUCCGGAUUGGAGUCUGCAACUCGACUCCAUGAAGUCGGAAUCGCUAGUAAUCGUGGAUCAGAAUGCCACGGUGAAUACGUUCCCGGGACGGGCGGUGUGUAC